GUGGAUUAGAUACCCUGGUAGUCCACGCCGUAAACGUUGAAUACUCGAUCUUAGCGAUACACAGUUAGGAUCCAAGCGCAAGCGUUAAGUAUUCCACCUGGGAAGUACGAUCGCAAGAUUGAAACUCAAAGGAAUUGACGGGGGCCCGCACAAGCGGAGGAGCAUGUGGUUUAAUUCGAUGAUACGCGAGGAACCUUACCUGGGCUUGAAUGUGAGUGACCGAUGCCGAAAGGUGUCUUCCCUUCGGGGCACAAAACAAGGUGCUGCACGGCCGUCGACAACU
RNAcentral lists this ribosomal RNA (283 nucleotides) under uncultured bacterium. Its description in RNAcentral is "partial 16S ribosomal RNA". It matches the Rfam family "Bacterial small subunit ribosomal RNA", at positions 773 to 1060 of the family's 1533-position model. The record is from RNAcentral.